This 469-nucleotide ribosomal RNA is filed under the name uncultured bacterium. Its description in RNAcentral is "bacterial SSU rRNA". It matches the Rfam family "Bacterial small subunit ribosomal RNA", at positions 8 to 523 of the family's 1533-position model. The record is from RNAcentral.
AGAGUUUGAUCCUGGCUCAGGAUGAACGCUGGCGGCGUGGAUAAGGCAUGCAAGUCGAGAGGGUUUAGACCCUCGGCAAACGGGUUAGGAAUACAUAGGAAUUUUCCCUGAAGUCGUGAAUAAUCCGGAGAAAUCCGGAAUAAUGCACGAUGUGCUCUACGGAGUAAAGAUUUAUCGCUUCAGGAGAAGCCUAUGUCCUAUCAGCUUGUUGGUGAGGUAAUGGCUCACCAAGGCUAUGACGGGUAGGGGGCGUGAGAGCGUGGCCCCCAACAUUGGGACUGAGACACUGCCCAAACACCUACGGGUGGCUGCAGUCGAGAAUAUUCCACUAUGGACGAAAGUCUGAUGGAGCGACGCCGCGUGCAGGAUGAAGGUUUUCGGAUCGUAAACUGCUUUUGUAAGGGAAGAAUUUCGAUGACGGUACCUUACGAAUAAGAGGUUACUAACUCUGUGCCAGCAGCCGCGGUAA